RNAcentral lists this ribosomal RNA (889 nucleotides) under Francisella endosymbiont of Dermacentor auratus. RNAcentral describes it as "bacterial SSU rRNA". It matches the Rfam family "Bacterial small subunit ribosomal RNA", at positions 208 to 1081 of the family's 1533-position model. The record is from RNAcentral. Lineage: Bacteria; Pseudomonadati; Pseudomonadota; Gammaproteobacteria; Thiotrichales; Francisellaceae.
CUUUUGUGCUGUCGCAGAUGGAUGAGCCUGCGUUGGAUUAGCUAGUUGGUGGGGUAAGGGCCUACCAAGGCUACGAUCCAUAGCUGAUUUGAGAGGAUGAUCAGCCACAUUGGGACUGAGACACGGCCCAAACUCCUACGGGAGGCAGCAGUGAGGAAUAUUGGACAAUGGGGGCAACCCUGAUCCAGCAAUGCCAUGUGUGUGAAGAAGGCCUUAGGGUUGUAAAGCACUUUAGUUGGGGAAGAAAGCUUUGAGGUUAAUAGCCUUGAGGAAGGACGUUACCCAAAGAAUAAGCACCGGCUAACUCCGUGCCAGCAGCCGCGGUAAUACGGGGGGUGCAAGCGUUAAUCGGAAUUACUGGGCGUAAAGGGUCUGUAGGUGGUUUGUUAAGUCAGAUGUGAAAGCCCAGGGCUCAACCUUGGAACUGCAUUUGAUACUGGCAAACUAGAGUACGGUAGAGGAAUGGGGAAUUUCUGGUGUAGCGGUGAAAUGCGUAGAGAUCAGAAGGAACACCAAUGGCGAAGGCAACAUUCUGGACCGAUACUGACACUGAGGGACGAAAGCGUGGGGAUCAAACAGGAUUAGAUACCCUGGUAGUCCACGCUGUAAACGAUGAGUACUAGCUGUUGGAGUCGGUGUAAAGGCUCUAGUGGCGCAGCUAACGCGAUAAGUACUCCGCCUGGGGAACUACGGCCGCAAGGCUAAAACUCAAAGGAAUUGACGGGGACCCGCACAAGCGGUGGAGCAUGUGGUUUAAUUCGAUGCAACGCGAAGAACCUUACCUGGUCUUGACAUCCUGCGAGCUUUCUAGAGAUAGAUUGGUGCCUUCGGGAACGCAGUGACAGGUGCUGCAUGGCUGUCGUCAGCUCGUGUUGUGAAAUGUUGGGUG